UUUUUUCUUUUCUGCCUCUUUCACGAGAAUAAACAAUUUAAUAAGAUUGACUACAGCAGGUGUGUGGUAGUUGAGGCUAUUCUUAGGCUGGAAUAUGGAGCGCUACGUCGGGAUGGUUACUCCAGGGAAAGAAAGAAGACGCUGAUAGGCGAAGAGUCCAUGUAGACGCACGACAUAAUCUGGUGCUUUCUCGCGGAUAGUCCCUUGCUUCAUGAUUCCAGUCGCGAUGUGCACGCUCUUUCUUCCGUGGCUCAUGAGCUCCUUCUCCGCCGUCACGCUUGCAGUGCAGCAGAACCCAUUGCUCAUCAUCCUCAGAAUCUCCCUCUUGUCUACUGACCAGAAGUGGCUGAACCCAUUUUUAUCCUCUUAAGCAGCAUCACCUUCAGUGUGGUAUCAGAAAACUGCAGGUUGUGUGACUGACAAAAUGGAAAAAAAUCUGUGCAUGUUUGAGCUACAGAGCGAAACAUGGACAGGGAAUCUGAUCUGGCGAUAACCGGCCCAUCUAGAACUUGUUUACUGGUCCACGACACGAUGCAGUGUGGCUGUGGCUCUGAGAAGCUCAUGCCAAACUCUGCACAGAGUCUUCAUUCAACAUGUGAACAAGCUUCAUUUGAACUCCAAAGGCGCCGUCGGGGAGAUGGGUCGUGAACUGGUGCACCCAACUCGUGGAGUGUCGGUAGCAUUAGUCAAAAUGCUGGGCACCACCGACAAACACAAAGAUGGGAUCUUUGAUGUUGGUUUGUGCAACUACCGCUGCUAGUGGAUUUUCGUAUUCUUUUUGACAUGAGCGAGGUUUCUGGUUGUUUAGAUUAAAGAGGGAAACAUGAACAGUGUGCUCUAAUACCUCUCUUUGAAUUGAGAAGGUAGGCAUAGGGGCAAAGAAAUCAUAGUACAUUGUACAUUGAUACCUAACCUACAAAGUUAUUUCAAAUGUAUGGAAAACAUGGCCACCAUCAGGUACUUUACUUCACCUCUAGGUUUUCAUUUCA
Non-coding RNA from Physcomitrium patens, 989 nucleotides. The record is from RefSeq and is a predicted model, not a curated record. Lineage: Eukaryota; Viridiplantae; Streptophyta; Bryopsida; Funariales; Funariaceae.